Non-coding RNA from Cordylochernes scorpioides, 99 nucleotides. NCBI's taxonomy places the organism in Eukaryota, Metazoa, Arthropoda, Arachnida, Pseudoscorpiones, Chernetidae. The record is from the annotation of a GenBank genome assembly.
ACGGCCAUACCAUAUUGAAAACACCGGUUCUCAUCCGAUCACCGAAGUUAAGCAAUGUCGGGCCCGGUCAGUACUUGGGAGGGUGACAUGUAGAAAGCU